UCACCAACUCGUGCCCGGCCGGCGUUUGUGUGAAUUGAAUGUCGGGAGUUGAUGCCCAAAACCUUCGUCUACGUACAUACUUUUGUCGUUUAUUAUCGAUGUGCGUGUUUCGUGGAAACUAUUCGGCGAUGAUGCGUAUGAAAACUAUCGUGAUUCGUGCGUAUUAAUUUGUCACUUGAAUCGUAUGAUGGCAGCCCUUUGUGGCCUAAUUUUCUCGAAAUGUCGCAUCGUUCUCGGCGCACGAGUGAAUUGAAUCGAGGCAAUUGAUCCCCCAAACUUUGAUUGAUGUUCGUAGUUUUCAGUGUUUCGGGAUUCGGGUAUACCCUAGUGAACUUCUCCAUUCUGCAAUUCGUGCGGGAUUUUCUCCAUUGCUCACUCACUGAUCGGUCGCCCGGGUUUUCGGGAGUGAUCUUGUUCCUCGUGUGUGGUUAGUUGGUGUUGUUUAUUCGAAGUUUUCAAACAAGGAUGUUAUAAAUCAUUGAGUGGGUGUCUUAUUUUGAUAAAUAUUCGUGUUGAAGACAUUACUUCCGCAAAUGCUGUCAAGCGUAAGUAAUUU
RNAcentral lists this long non-coding RNA (556 nucleotides) under Bemisia tabaci. RNAcentral's name for it is "lncRNA ENSSSA1NGG008388". Lineage: Eukaryota; Metazoa; Arthropoda; Insecta; Hemiptera; Aleyrodidae. The record is from RNAcentral.